Molecule: long non-coding RNA, 498 nt
Filed under: Vitis vinifera (wine grape)
Lineage: Eukaryota; Viridiplantae; Streptophyta; Magnoliopsida; Vitales; Vitaceae
Description: long non-coding RNA (VVIN_LNC004296)
Source: RNAcentral
AUUUCACCAUUUUUUUUUCUGAUUCCAGGUAUGACUUCAAUCCGCUUUGCGCUUCUCGUUAUGAACUGUUCUUUUCUGUUUCUCAUUGUUCAUGGUUCAUGAUGCUUGAAGACUACAUGCAUUUCUCUGUUCUGGAACGCUUCAAAUAAAGAUCCAUUGCUGCUCUUGUUUUUUUUUUUAAAUAAAUCUUCACAGUCUCACCUUUCUCUCAUUUUUCUCUCCUUUUCUCUCUGCCCAAACAUCCUUUCCCGUGGUUCUCUUCUUUUUUUCUUUUUUUUUCUUUCUUUUUCUUUCCUUCUCUCUCCGUCUCCAUGGAAAGCCACUCACCUGCUCAAACACUUCUACCCCCCACCAACACCAGUUUUCUUCUCUAAACCAUCACCCUCAUUUCCCACCUGCAUGCAUGGAGCUUUACAUGCAUGGCCUUCUCCCUCUCCACCUUUAUUUCUCAUUAUUUCUUUCCAACACCGAACCCACCACCUGCACCAUCAUCCAAAC